Molecule: ribosomal RNA, 460 nt
Filed under: uncultured bacterium
Lineage: Bacteria
Description: partial 16S ribosomal RNA
Rfam family: Bacterial small subunit ribosomal RNA
Source: RNAcentral
CCUACGUGGUGCAGCAGUGAGGAACAUUGGUCAAUGGGCGCGAGCCUGAACCAGCCAAGUAGCGUGAAGGAUGACUGCCCUACGGGUUGUAAACUUCUUUUAUAAAGGAAUAAAGUGAGGCACGUGUGCCUUUUUGUAUGUACUUUAUGAAUAAGGAUCGGCUAACUCCGUGCCAGCAGCCGCGGUAAUACGGAGGAUCCGAGCGUUAUCCGGAUUUAUUGGGUUUAAAGGGAGCGUAGAUGGGUUGUUAAGUCAGUUGUGAAAGUUUGCGGCUCAACCGUAAAAUUGCAAUUGAUACUGGCAGUCUUGAGUACAGUUGAGGUAGGCGGAAUUCGUGGUGUAGCGGUGAAAUGCUUAGAUAUCACGAAGAACUCCGAUUGCGAAGGCAGCUUACUAAACUGCCACUGACAUUGAUGCUCGAAAGUGUGGGUAUCAAACAGGAUUAGAUACCCUUGUAGUC